This 82-nucleotide transfer RNA is filed under the name Camelus bactrianus (Bactrian camel). It matches the Rfam family "tRNA". From Rfam's summary of the family: Transfer RNA (tRNA) molecules are approximately 80 nucleotides in length. Their secondary structure includes four short double-helical elements and three loops (D, anti-codon, and T loops). Further hydrogen bonds mediate the characteristic L-shaped molecular structure. tRNAs have two regions of fundamental functional importance: the anti-codon, which is responsible for specific mRNA codon recognition, and the 3' end, to which the tRNAs corresponding amino acid is attached (by aminoacyl-tRNA synthetases). tRNAs cope with the degeneracy of the genetic code in two manners: having more than one tRNA (with a specific anti-codon) for a particular amino acid; and 'wobble' base-pairing, i.e. permitting non-standard base-pairing at the 3rd anti-codon position. Lineage: Eukaryota; Metazoa; Chordata; Mammalia; Artiodactyla; Camelidae. The record is from Rfam by way of RNAcentral. RNAcentral also lists the same sequence under 2 other names.
GGGGGUAUAGCUCAGUAGUAGAGUGCAUGCUUAGCAUGCACGAGGAUGCACGAGGUACUAGGUUCAAUCCCCAGUACCUCUA